RNAcentral lists this ribosomal RNA (166 nucleotides) under uncultured bacterium. RNAcentral's name for it is "partial 16S rRNA". It matches the Rfam family "Bacterial small subunit ribosomal RNA", at positions 354 to 511 of the family's 1533-position model. The record is from RNAcentral.
GUAGGGAAUCUUCGGCAAUGGGGGCAACCCUGACCGAGCAACGCCGCGUGAGUGAAGAAGGUUUUCGGAUCGUAAAGCUCUGUUGUAAGAGAAGAACGUGUGUGAGAGUGGAAAGUUCACACAGUGACGGUAACUUACCAGAAAGGGACGGCUAACUACGUGCCAG